GACGAAGGGGGCUGGCGUUGUUCGGAAUUACUGGGCGUAAAGCGCGUGUAGGCGGUUGUCCAAGUUGGAUGUGAAAGCCUUGAGCUUAACUCAAGAAAUGCAUUCAGGACUGGAUGACUAGAGGACCGGAGAGGAUAGUGGAAUUCCCAGUGUAGUGGUGAAAUACGUAGAGAUUGGGAAGAACACCAGUGGCGAAGGCGGCUAUCUGGACGGUUUCUGACGCUAAGACGCGAAAGCGUGGGGAGCAAACAGG
This 253-nucleotide ribosomal RNA is filed under the name uncultured bacterium. RNAcentral describes it as "partial 16S ribosomal RNA". It matches the Rfam family "Bacterial small subunit ribosomal RNA", at positions 524 to 776 of the family's 1533-position model. The record is from RNAcentral.